This 253-nucleotide ribosomal RNA is filed under the name uncultured bacterium. Its description in RNAcentral is "partial 16S ribosomal RNA". It matches the Rfam family "Bacterial small subunit ribosomal RNA", at positions 524 to 776 of the family's 1533-position model. The record is from RNAcentral.
UACGUAGGAGGCAAGCGUUGUCCGGAAUUACUGGGCGUAAAGCGCGUGUAGGUGGUGGGACAAGUCUGCUGUGAAAGCGCCUGGCUUAACCGGGCGAGGUCGGCGGAAACUGUCCGACUCGAGGACGGUAGAGGGGGGUGGAAUUCCCGGUGUAGUGGUGAAAUGCGUAGAGAUCGGGAAGAACACCUAUGGCGAAGGCAGCUCUCUGGGACGGUACUGACGCUGAGACGCGAAAGCGUGGGGAGCGAACAGG